UAGAAAGCAAGAGUGGCAUUUAUAAGAUUGUUCCAAACUACAAAAGAACUACAGUAAGAUCUGUGAGAAACUCAACUAAAGAAGUGAUUAAUUGUUUUUGGAAAAUCCACUAGCUGAGUGAAAAUGCAAACGAAAUCUUUCAAUGCGGUAGCAGUAAUGAGUUUAUUGCCCAGUGCUUAUCUUAACACUGUUUGCCAAAAAGGGAACACAAGGUACACUGACCCUGUGUAUGUAUUGUUAUUUUGAUGAUCUCCAGCGAUUUCCCAACGCAAUAAAAAAUUUGAGCCAAGCCGAAUAUGCGCUCAUCGUCCCGCUUCUUCAGGAUGUAUUCAUAGGAGUAAAGUAAUACUAGUAUUGCGUAGGCAAUACUGAAUAUCACGCCCUACGCUUACUUACUCACAGUUCAAUCAACAAGAAAGACUGGAGGCAAUGACACCAACAUAAGGAAAGCUCAAUUUUUAUAAUAUGUCACACGCAAAUGUGGAAAAUUAAUGGAAGAUGAUUGGAUGAAUCCUUCCUUAAGUUUAUAAUUGAUGAUUGUUU
This is a long non-coding RNA of Drosophila novamexicana, 543 nucleotides long. RefSeq lists it as uncharacterized. Lineage: Eukaryota; Metazoa; Arthropoda; Insecta; Diptera; Drosophilidae. The record is from RefSeq and is a predicted model, not a curated record. The transcript has 4 exons.